Molecule: long non-coding RNA, 1040 nt
Organism: Dermacentor albipictus
Lineage: Eukaryota; Metazoa; Arthropoda; Arachnida; Ixodida; Ixodidae
Source: RefSeq, a predicted model, not a curated record
GCGAGUAGCUCGUUUUUAUUGUAUUAAGAUAUGUUUGCUUUAGUGAGGUUUCUCAAAGAAUUCGACAAGAACCGGCUGUACAUUGUGACGGCCAGUUCGAUUUUAGACUUUCAUCCUCGCAGCACAGAGGAUUUUAACAACAGGACUGUGUACUCGGUAUUCUGGGUUGACGAAGAGAACCACGAGAAUACGCGGGCCUACGAGGCCCAAGUUCUGCUGCUGGCCGAAUCCCGGGAGGAGCUAGAAAAUAAGAAGUCGACCAAGAGAGUGCCCAUGCCAAAAAUACAAAUGGAAGACGACAGUGAGGAUGAAAGGCCUAGUGCCAAGAGGCAAGACAAGCAGGUAUCACAAAAGCGCAAAAUUGCGCAAGCAAACGCAAAAACUGCAAACUAUAGUAGAAUUCUGGCAAAGCAUCUGCAAAGUGCAAAAAAAAAGCCAGGGGUGAGUCAUGCAGCCAGCCCAAUCAACAAAGCCAUGUAAGUGUGUCUGUACACUGUGUAUUUGCAAUUGAUAAUCAUCUAAAUGAUUCAAUUUUUCAGAGCCCAAAACCCCAUUGGGAGUGCAACAGUUCAUCAUCUGAGGAUGAAUCUCUGAUAUCCGAGUCAGAGCUGCAAAAAGAAAUAGCAAAAAAAAUGUGGAGAGAAAAAGCUCAAAAAUUAGAAAAAGAAAAUGAAAUCUUGCUGGAGCAAGUGGCAUCGCUUCAGCGGUGCUUAGAAAGCAAAAUAUUUCAAGGUAAGCGUAAUCACCUUGGCUUGAACACACUGAAUAAUGCAUACUGCCAGAAGUGUGUAAGAGAGACGCGCUUCAAGAAUCGUAUAUAUUUUGAGACAGGCAUGCUCAUAGUGUGUAAAUAUUGGCUGUGCAUUAAGCAUAUAGGUAUAAUUGGCAUGUACAGGCGCCGACAAAAGUGGUAUACUCCACGCAGCGGGAGCUGGAGCAACGGCAAACUGCAUCGCAAUGCCAUCUACAGGCAGCAUCUAGGAUUAUGUCUGUCGAUAAUAAAGGGCACCCAUUGGCUGUCUCGAUCCGAGAUGCUGCCU